RNAcentral lists this long non-coding RNA (444 nucleotides) under Gadus morhua (Atlantic cod). Its description in RNAcentral is "lncRNA (ENSGMOG00000030999.1)". The record is from RNAcentral. Lineage: Eukaryota; Metazoa; Chordata; Actinopteri; Gadiformes; Gadidae.
CAAUCAUCCAGAGCUGCGCCAAAUGGCUCUGCUUGUGAGUGUACAAUCCAUAAGCUGGUUUUUGAAUCGGUGAGGAUUGACCAAUGCUGGAUAUGCCAUUCACCUUUCACAUCUUUCAGAUGGCACGGUGUAAGAUGCAAACAAUGCCGUGGUGUGUGGCACAAAAUCUGCCUCCAGAAAUCCUCAGAAGACUGGGAUAUAUCAGAUGAUGAUGUCUCAUCCGAUGAUGAGUACAUCCCAGAUUCUGUAUCGGAUUCAGAAAGCUCAGGAACAGAGGGGAGUGUCGAGUUGGCUGUACCAUCCAAGAAGUCCCAUACCAAUACACCUGAUUUAGUUACUUUUGCUGAACUGGCCCCCGAACCAGAACCAGAAAGCUCAGAGUCUGUAUCGGAUUCAAAAAGCUCGGGAACAGAGUUGAGUGUCGAGUUGCCUGAACCAUCCAAG